AUGCAUCCGAUACAAUCGGAGAAGAUGCAUUCGAUGAGAAAAAGAUCACAUAUAAAAUGUGAUAGGAUGACAGUGUAACUAUCAAAUGUAUCAUGCUUGCCUCCAUGAACAAUGAGCUUUAGCAGCAGCAUGAAGGCAUGGAUGUUCCUUCCAUACUCCUUAAUUUAAAGGAGUUAUAUGGAGAACAAAAUUGAACCGCU
RNAcentral lists this long non-coding RNA (200 nucleotides) under Elaeis guineensis (African oil palm). RNAcentral's name for it is "long non-coding RNA (EGUI_LNC057662)". The record is from RNAcentral. Lineage: Eukaryota; Viridiplantae; Streptophyta; Magnoliopsida; Arecales; Arecaceae.